This 351-nucleotide unclassified non-coding RNA is filed under the name soil metagenome. Its description in RNAcentral is "partial contains 5.8S ribosomal RNA, internal transcribed spacer 2, and large subunit ribosomal RNA". The stretch from base 1 to 120 matches the Rfam family "5.8S ribosomal RNA", at positions 35 to 154 of the family's 154-position model. The record is from RNAcentral.
GAUGAAGAACGUAGCGAAAUGCGAUAAGUAAUGUGAAUUGCAGAAUUCAGUGAAUCAUCGAAUCUUUGAACGCACAUUGCGCCCGCCAGUAUUCUGGCGGGCAUGCCUGUUCGAGCGUCAUUACAACCCUCAGGCCCCCGGGCCGGCGUUGGGGAUCGGCGGAGCCCCCCGUGGGCACACGGCGUCCCCCAAAUGCAGUGGCGGUCCCGCCGCAGCUUCCAUCGCGUAGUAGCUAACACCUCGCGACUGGAGAGCGGCGCGGCCACGCCGUAAAACACCCAACUCUUCUGAAGUUGACCUCGAAUCAGGUAGGAAUACCCGCUGAACUUAAGCAUAUCAAUAAGCGGAGGA